UACGUAGGGGGCAAGCGUUAUCCGGAUUUACUGGGUGUAAAGGGAGCGCAGGCGGCAGGGCAAGCCAGAUGUGAAAAUACGGGGCCCAACCCCGUAAGUGCAUUUGGAACUGUCCGGCUGGAGUGUUGGAGAGGUAAGCGGAAUUCCUAGUGUAGCGGUGAAAUGCGUAGAUAUUAGGAGGAACACCAGUGGCGAAGGCGGCUUACUGGACAAUAACUGACGCUGAGGCUCGAAAGCGUGGGGAGCAAACAGG
This 253-nucleotide ribosomal RNA is filed under the name uncultured bacterium. RNAcentral's name for it is "partial 16S ribosomal RNA". It matches the Rfam family "Bacterial small subunit ribosomal RNA", at positions 524 to 776 of the family's 1533-position model. The record is from RNAcentral.